Non-coding RNA from Anas platyrhynchos (mallard), 1834 nucleotides. The record is from RefSeq and is a predicted model, not a curated record. NCBI's taxonomy places the organism in Eukaryota, Metazoa, Chordata, Aves, Anseriformes, Anatidae.
AACCUUUCUAUUCUCACCUCCCAUUUCCCUACUUGACCUCUCUUCAUUAACCUAGCGAUUUACCAUGGCAUUGGGUGGUGGAUUUAUCACAGAACCUGCUAUGAAGUGGUCUCUGGGGGCAACAGAACUAAAGGGAACAGAUUUGUACUCAUCAUCUCUCCCACUGAUGCUGUCAUACAGAUCUUUUCACUGUUUGCCGUCAAAACUGUUCUGCACACGUAGAGAAUUUUGCUGGAUGGAAGUUCAGGACUAGUUCUUAAAUCUGAUCAUCUGAUCGUUGUGGUUCAUCUUCAUCUCCCGUGGCAUCCCCUCUCAAGUGCCUCUGUGCCGAAGUGACUUGUCAUCUCCACUGGAGAUUGCCUGCUGCCACCUGGUGGGUAGCAUCACCCAACGUUUCCCCAGUUCCCCUCCUCGGAAACACGUUAGCAAAAAGCUGUAUAGAGACCUCUGAACUAUUUGGCUUAGAAAUACCGCACAUGUUGAAAGUGGUGAUAGCUGGAAGUUUGUUUUAUUUUCUGGUAGUAUCUAGAUACUACAGAAAGCUGCCUUAAAAAGAAAAGACAAAAAUUUCACAUCAGAGAAACUGAGAUGUUGAAAUUAGGACUUAAAAGUGGGUAAAGCUUGUUAGAGACUGACUGCAGUGUUCUUUCAUCCAGGGCUAUUAAUACAAGCCCUUUGUUGCCCUUAUUUUGCUAAACAUUAACUCAAAGAGAGAUAUGAGGGGAAUUUUGAAUAAAUGAUUUCUUUUUGAAUGAUCCCAAGUCAGAAUAUCUAUCCUUGCACAUGACUUAAACUCUGGGAGACUUCAUGUGGAGUAAAACUGUACUAUUGAUGCUGCAGCAGACUGGUCUUUCUUGAUUUGUCUGAUUUAGGAAAUUAUGACUAAUUGAAGUAAGUGUAACUAUGGAUGACAGUUGUCUUGGUCAGAUAGAAUACUUGGACCAUAUUACGGACUUAUCUUGUGCAAAUUAAACCAUGUGAAUUAAUUGAACCUAUAUUCUUGGCAAAGCCACAGAGAAAGAAAGUGAACCAGGUACACAUAUGCACUAGCCCUGCUCUGAAAAAAAAUUGAUGUUUAAGAUAAGACAAUACUGCUAGAAGUUUUCCUAAUAACUUCAGAAAGUUCCACACUUUGGUCCCAUUUAGUGAAGAAGAGUAAAUUAUUCUCUUAUCCUCUGAAGCCCUAGCUAAAACUAAUUGCCAUUAUCAUGUCAGUUUGGGAAGCUUUAUUAUUUUCGCAAAAUCUAAGGAAAAUAAACAUUACUUUCAGCUUUCAUUAAAUUACAUUAAUACAGGUCCACUUUUCUUUUAAAAAGAAUUACAAUGGAAACUCAAAUUGUUUUUCCAAAUGCAAACUACUUACUUUGUCAGAGCGCUUCUUUGCUGACGUUCUUUUUCAAUUUGCAGAUACCGAGUUUGUUGUUCAAUAGUCUUUUCCCAGAAGUUUCUCAGGUCACUGGUUUCACAUCCCCUCACUUCGUGACGUAUGUAUUGACUGUUCAUUUUCUGUGAAAGAGAAAUGUGAAACACUUUUGUUACAAGUUCUUGGUCCCAUGUAUGUUUACAUGGUUGAAGCACAGUACUGAUGUUUUGCACUCUCACAGAGUUACAAUCACAUUGUUUUUUAUGUAGGACAAAGAUAAGAGUGGACAAUUUAAACUUCCCAUUCCUAGCUCUGACACUUGUGGAUAUGCUGUUUACAGUGAUUUGAAUUCUUUUAUGUUAACCUCAGGUAUUUCUCAUCUCUGUCUGUGAUCUUUAAAUUUAAAAUGUGGAACAGUUCUAUUAUUUUCUCUAGCUUAAAGAUUAAGAUAUAUUUUAUAGUACUCAAAAA